This is a long non-coding RNA of Fundulus heteroclitus (mummichog), 2251 nucleotides long. RefSeq lists it as uncharacterized. The record is from RefSeq and is a predicted model, not a curated record. The transcript is spliced from 10 exons. NCBI's taxonomy places the organism in Eukaryota, Metazoa, Chordata, Actinopteri, Cyprinodontiformes, Fundulidae.
UUGAACUAACCAGUAAGGCACUUCCUGUUAGCAACCAGUUCAUGACGCCUGUGCGGUAUCUAUGGAGCCGUAGACAACCGUUCUCGCUCUUCUUCAUCGGCUUAGCACGUCGAAAAAACGUAAAGCUGACAACAAACUUCUAGAGACUUGUUUUGUAAAUCGGUGCUUGUUCCUCGGCGUUAUCUGGAAGCGUUUACAUAUUUAUUUUGUGCAGAUCAAGCUAGCCAGGCUAACUUUAUUAACGGCAGGCCGGGAGCUUAUAUUACGGCAGCGUUAGCUAGUUAGCUCGCUUAUCCACAACACGAAGAGCCUUUCUAAAUCGACCUUUCUAGACUGCCGCCAUGAGCGAACAACUGAAGUUCAUCGUCGAACAACUGAACAAGGAGCCCUUCAGGAAGAACUUCAACCUCAUCACGUUUGAUUCCCAGGAGCCCAUGCAGCUCCUGCAGAUCCUGAACGACGUUCUGGCUGAAAUAGACCCAAAGCAAGCCGUAGAUAUCCGAGAAGAAAUGCCGGAGCAGACCGUGAAGAGGAUGUCCUCCAUGCUGGGGAUGCUGAAGUACAAGCCUCCUGCCACCCUCUCUGAUGUGUUCUUCAAAAUAUUGAACGGGCACAAGAAAGACAGCAGAGGACUUUUGGGUACCGGAAAUGCAAGUUUACCCGUGUCACAACAGCUGAGGCUGGGGAUGAAUGCCUGAUUUGAGGGGCUUCAAAAAGGCCACGUACACGGGACACAUUGACCAGCCAGCACAGAGGACCUUACAUCAUUGGAAACAUUACAACAAAAGGAGUGGCCACUGUGAUGAAGGAUCUACCUCCAUGAAGGCCAAUGUGUCCAGACUGAGGCCCUAUUAUAGGUUAAUAAAUGAUUAACUACCUGAGGGCAGCUUCUCAAGGACCAUGAAUACUCCUCAAGGAACUGGCAGCUGGAGCAUUCCUAUUGUUCUUCUGGAGGAAAGUGGGAACCGGAUGUAAACCCAGUUCAAGAGGCUCUUCUAACUUACAUAUUGGACCAUGCAGGAUCGUUCACCUAUUGAACUAAUUGUGAAGGAGGGAAGUAUGUGCCUGACACGGGAGGAUUUCUGGUCCUUGGGGUUAAAUCAGUGCAUGGAAUUAAAUACUGGAAAUGCUUGCCUGAAAAUAGUGGAGGAAACAGCAAAAAGAUGUGUAAUUAAAUUGCCUAGAUCUUUGUUUUUAAGCCUUAUGAACCAAUCAAAAUACUUAACAUAAUUCUUUGUUUCCAUAAGGGAAGAGAAAUAUAUAUCUUCGAUUUGUAUGUGGUGCCCCUGUGGAAGGCAGAAGAUGUUGAUCCUUUGUGUUCAUUGCCUGUUCUACUGGUAAAACAGAGAGAGUUAGUAUUUCUUGACUCCCUUUGACCUGAUGGCACAUCAACCCCAUUUACCUUUUCCCAGUGGGAGAUGCCAAGCAUUCGCUGUUGGCGGUCCCUCCAGCUAAUGGAGAGGUUUAGCAUUGAAGGCAUGGACAUCGAUUUACUCACUGGACAGAAGAAUCCUCCCAUCUUCCUUCAAGAAUCCUGGAACCGGUCUUCAGGGUUCCAAAGUCCACCAGUGCAGAAACCUCCCCCAGAAACGGUGAUGGUGGAGAGGGCAGUGGGACAGAAACAGAUCAUGAGGGACUUGCAUAAAGCAUAUGGGACUGGAUACCAGCACAAGGCCUUAUUCCAUGGGGAAAUAGAAGAGCCUGAAGUGUUCCAGAUGAGCAAGCCCAGGCAGAAAAUGGCCCUUGAAGAAUACAGUUCUUCAAAGCAUCCCUUCUUGAUUUCCUUCCAGUGUCAGGAAGACAUGGAAAUGUUUUAUAUCAACUGUGUUGAUGUAAAGGAGCUAACGGUCAAUGCCAUGUUUUGCGAACAUAGUUCUUAAGAUGUUUGUACAGUCAGUUUUCAAUAUGUUUUUUAAGUUUUCUCUCUCUCUCUGGAUUCGUUUUUUUCCCCCCCCGCUCAAUUUUUCUAACUACAACCCAUUUUAUCCUUACAAGUAUUUCAUGUAGGUUUAAUACCUAGUAAAAGUUUUUUCUCACCUGUUCUAAUUGUAUUUGUGUGUAUAGUUUGGGGGUAGUAGGAAAUGUGGACAUGAGAAUUUUGCUGUUACAUUUUUUUAUUUUCUGAGUUUUCUAAUAUCUCUAAAGGAUAUUAGAGCAAGAUAUUUUCUUUAGAUGAAAAGGUUAAGUAAUAAGCAAUGAUUUGUUUUUGUUUUGUUUUUUGUUUUGUUUUUUGCUUUUUUAAUAGCAAAAA